Molecule: ribosomal RNA, 30 nt
Filed under: Tulasnella sp. 6 MM-2012
Lineage: Eukaryota; Fungi; Basidiomycota; Agaricomycetes; Cantharellales; Tulasnellaceae
Description: partial 18S ribosomal RNA
Source: RNAcentral
ACCGUAGGUGAACCUGCGGAAGGAUCAUAG